GCAUCCGUAGCUCAGCUGGAUAGAGUACUCGGCUACGAACCGAGCGGUCGGAGGUUCGAAACCUCCCGGAUGCACCA
Molecule: transfer RNA, 77 nt
Filed under: Escherichia coli
Lineage: Bacteria; Pseudomonadati; Pseudomonadota; Gammaproteobacteria; Enterobacterales; Enterobacteriaceae
Also listed under: 4 other names
Description: tRNA-Arg
Rfam family: tRNA
About the family: Transfer RNA (tRNA) molecules are approximately 80 nucleotides in length. Their secondary structure includes four short double-helical elements and three loops (D, anti-codon, and T loops).
Source: RNAcentral